AGACCCGGAUGAGUCCUAGUCCCCGCCACACACAGGUCGUGGGUUCUCCUUUGAGAGUGACCACUGGUUCCUAGAGCUUUUCCUAAACUGGAGACGGAUCCUGCCCUGGGGGUCUCAGUCACCGCGAGGACUCGAGGAUAGCAAAACUAAGUGUCAAAAGCACCUUCUGCACACAGUCUGCACACACUGGCCGGUGGUCCUGUUCCCGCAAGGUUGAGCUGUGUUCCAGAGACAUGGGUCCUCCGGGUGAUGAGGAGCCGCUGGAGGGCCCUGAGCUGCACGUGCUAAUGAUUAACGCCCCGUCCGUGCUGGCCGGUUUCUCAAAUGCCUCCUGACGAUUGCGCACAGCCGGACAUCAUUUGUACUGAGAGACAAAAGGAAAUCACUGAGGCUUUCUGAGGUGAGCUGGGCGGCCGCGGGGGGACUGGACUCACACCUGCUAACGGCCAGUCCACAGGACCUGCCCAGAGGCUCGGACACACAGCUGAAGUCACAUCCCACGGGGAGCAUCCUCACCAACUGACAAUCAGCACGGGUUUGUAAUUAAGGGUUUCUGCCCAGCCAAUGAACGGCCUCCAGAAACAACCUUUGUGGAACCCCCUAUAAAAGCCUUCCCAGCGCUUGCCUUCAGGACACUGCUCAGGGCUGACUCAGUGUACCCAAGCUGCAGUCUUUGUUUCCCAAAUAAGCAGUCAUUCAUUCUACCUCCGUGUCAAUCUUUUCUUCGUGAACACAGCUGGUGUCAGGAGCAGGGCUUAGCAAGAUCUCUCCUUUGAGCGGCUUUCUCUGGAAUCGGGUGAAGUCCCCACAACACAGAGGCCCCUGUGCGCGCCCCUUCUUUGGGGCCAGCACCUCCCUUCAACUGAGGCUGAUACCUUUAUUUGGGAAUCUGGGGGCAGUUGCUGCCUCUGUGCCGGCAAAGGCUUUCAGCUUGGAGGACGUUUUCCCUGCUUACUGGAGAUUUUCCCAAUGGUGAGUAUUAUUAUCUUAAGUAUGGGACUCUGUGCGUCUAAACCUCGUAACAGUUGUGCCCCCUCUGGACUCCAGCCCCGUUUAUCUGGAGCAAUGGACCUUUUUACAUUGGCCAAACUGGGGUUCCUUUGCUACACCAACCUAGGUUUUCUCUGAACUAAAUUAGAAGAACUUGGUUCCAAAACAAGGGUCUUAGCAUGUGGGAAGCCACAGAGCCCUAGGAAGGGGGCGUGCUCAUGGAAAGAUACUGAGCGCGAGGAGCGUUGGGUGCAGCUCCUCCAGAAGCGAGAGAACGGCCCGUGGCUAUGUAUUAAAAUAUACACGUCCAGAUGGGGUGCUUGUUUUAAUUGGCAUUUGGAGGCAUCUGGCUGGAUGCCAUCAGAACUCUAACAUUGCCUCUCUCCAAAACACAGCGCCUGAACUCACAGAGGCUGAUAAAGCACUGAAAGGUGGAGUCCUGGGCCCAGGGCUCCUCCUGCCCCUCGUUCGGGUUGUUCGUGAGUUUGGUGUGCUUUGGAAACAGACUUUUUAACCUCCAGAGGGAACCAAAUUAAAAAUGACACUUUUGUCAAUAGUUUAUUAAAUUCAAUUUGGCUUCCCUCUGGCCAUAAUCAAAAUUUCUGGGUAUUCAAAAUUGGAGUCAGAUGAGGCUAAAGAAAAACUUGGUUGAUUCCACAGCAAAAGCCGCUGCCUUGAGUUUCACUGAGACCAAAAACCUUACAGCUAAGAUAAUUUUCCCAAAAAGGAUGUAAAUGAUGUUAUUAAAGACACUCUGUCCCCAGCACCCCAUGAGCCAGUGUUACCAGAAUCUAUGAACACGUCAGACGACUCAUUGGGCAACUAAUGAACUUACACGUUUACAAAACAGUAUUGGUGGGGAAAUAUUUCAAGGGCGGCCGAAGAGGCACAACUGCCUUGUGCUGUUUGUCCAAAAUUCAACCCAGCAAAGACAAUUCGGAGAGUCCCAGGUCAUUCUGACCUGCCAAGUGGACCCUCUGAGGUUUGGCAAAUGGACUUCAUCCAGCCACUGCCUCUCAAGACUGUAAGUAUGUCGUGAUGAUUUGCAUGUUCUUCUCCUGGGUAGAAGCAUUCCCUUCCUGAUGUGCCGCUGCCUCAGAUGCUGCAAACUCUACAAGAACAGAUUCUCCCUAAGUGACAAGGGCAUAUCUUCACAGGUAGUGACAAGGAGCUCCACUGGCCAGGUCAUAAAACAAAUCUGUGAAGUCUGGUCCACAUGACAGCACUGUCAUUGUGCCUACCAUCCCCAAUCUUGCAGACUGGUGGAAAGCACAGAUGGCAUCAACUGGCAGAAUUUCAGGAAGCACUAAAAUUGCCCCGGCCAAAGGCACUUCCUCUGGUCCUUCUGAAUCUAAGGUCUGCACCUUUUGGAAACUGCAAGUUGUCACCUUUUGAAAUGAUCACUGGAGGGCCAAUGCAUAGAGUCCCUUCUGCUUUUAAUAGUCCACUGAUGAAAGGAGACAUGCUCCAGUAUUGUAAAGGAAUAAUGAAGGCUGUCCACGCAAGUCAUACCCUGGUCAGACAAUCUUUACACAGUGUGUUCCCAGUUGAUAAAGGCACCAGACAUCACAACCUUCAGCCUGAUCAUUUUCUCUAUUGGAAAAGACAUUUACAAAAAGAUUUCCUUCAACCUCAGUGAAGAGUCCACAUCAGGUACUCCUUACCCAUCCCUGUGCUGCCAAACUAAAAGGUGUUGACCCUUGGAUUGAGGUUUCUCAUUUAAAGAAACCUCUACCCCUGCUGGAAUUCGGACAAUCACCUGAAAUGAAAACUGACCCAAAAGUGAAGCAGAUGACAGUUGAGCUUGACUGAGGUCACGUCCCCAACGAGGGACAUGACUCCCUGGGACAAGUCCCUCCCAGCAACAAGGGACAUCAUCACAUUCACCAACUGAUCUGUGACACUUUCUGGAGGAAGAACUUGGUCAAAAGGGGGAAAUGUGAAAGAAAAUGAAGUCACUAAUGCUGAGGCUAAGUGGAACUGGGCGGCUGCGGGAGGCCUGCAUUCACACGGCUGACGGCCAGUCCACAGGACGCGCCCGUAGACUUGGACCAACAGCUGAAGUCAGCCCCUGACGGCCUUCACAUCUCCCAGCUGGGAGUGCCCUUAAGAACUAACCCAUCAGAAUGGGUUUCAUUUAGGAUUUCUGCCCAGCCAAUGAACUACCUCCAAAACCCCUUUGUGGAAAUCCCCUAAACAAAUCUCUCCAGGCCGGGCGAGGUGGCUCACACCUAUAUUCCCAGCACUUUGGGAGGCUGAGGUGGGAGGAUCACCUGAGGUCAGAAGUUCGAGACCAGCCUGGCCAACAUGGUGAAACCUCAUCUCUACUAAAAAUACAAAAAUUAGUCAGGGGUGGUGGUGCACACCUGUAGUCCCAGCUACUCAGGAGGCUGAGGCAGGAGAAUCGCUUGAACCCAGGAGAUGGAGGUUGCAGUGAGCUGAGAUCACGCCACUGCACUCCAGCCUGGGCAACAGAGUGAGACUCCGUCUCAAAGAGAAAAACCAAAACUCUCGUGUUUGCUUUCUAGGACACUACUCAGGGCCACCGUGACUCAGCUUACCCAAAUUACAAUCCUUUGUUUCCCAAAUAAAUGCUUAAUACUAUUAAAAGUGAACAAUGAAAAAGCAGAUUCAAAACCUAUUCAAAUGGUUCUAACUCAAUGUGUUAGUACAGUCACAGCUGCUUACUGAAAACACACACUUGGUCUACUUCAGGAAGACGUGUGGAGAAAGGGUGAAGGGUGAGCCACUGGGCCCAGCUCACCACACGACGGCCCCCUGUGCUUGUGUGCGCCCCAACUCACAGUGACAACACUCCGGCCAUGCCUCUGCGUGUUGGCUUGGUGUCAUCUGCAUUGCACUGGAGUGAAACAGGGUCAGGCUGCCACCAUUCACACAAACUUUAAAAAUGAAACCUUUAUCAAGGGAACAUCUUUGGACUGUUUUUAAAACCUUUGGAACCAUGACUUGGAGCUGGCAGAACAGGCUGUGGCUGUGGACUUCAGCACUACCAACAGUGCUGAAAACACUAUGAUUUACAUCCAUUCCAAGUUGCAAGUCCAUCUUUUCUUCCUGCAACAAAAGACCAUUAGCUUAAAAAAGGGAGCGGGUUCCAUCAUCCUUGCAGCAGCUAAGACAACCCCUUGGGGUCCACCUGGGCUCCCAGCCCCACCUUCCUGAUGUUCAGACCCAGCAACUCCUUCCAGGGAUACCGCAGGCACUCAGGUCCUCUUGUUAAAUUAAAUUUGGCCUAAAGCUGCCUCCAUUCUUUGCAUUUCUGCCUAGUGAAUUGCAACCUAACGAAGCAUGUAAACAAACUCAACCUAAUAAGUCUAUUUUGUAACAAGUAGCUGAGUCUGUCAUAAGCUGCCAGUGGGUCAGACCACACCCACAGGUGGCAGACGCCCAGCCGUAGCCAAUCAGGCUGUUUCCGUGUCUCACUUCCGUGUUCUGUCUGUAAGUGCUGCCUGCCCGUGCUGCUGAGUGGAGCUCGCUGAACCUCUCCCGGUUCUGAGUGCAAUUCAUGAACUGUUCUUUGUUCAAAUAAACUCUAAAGUUUUUCUUUUUUUGAGACAGAGGAGUCUCACUCUGUUGCCCAGACGAGUGCAGUGGCACAAUCUCAGCUCAUGGCAACCUCCGCCUCCCGGAUUCAAGUGAUUCUCCUGCCCCAGCCUCCCAAGUAGCUGGGAUUACACACAUGCACCACCACGCCCACUAGGCUAAUUUUUUUUUUAUUUAUUUUUUCUUUUUAGUAGAGACGGGAUUUCACGUUGGCUGGGCUGGUCUCGAACUCCUGACCUAAAGCAAUCCAACCGCCUUGACCUCCCAAAGUGCUGGGAUUACAGGUGUGAGCCACCACGUCCAGCAUAAAGUUUUUCAACACUCUUGACCAUUGCGUCUCACCCGGACCACGCAACAGCCUCCUCACCAGCCUCCGGCUUCCAGGCUAUUCCCUGCACAGUGGCCACAUCACACCCUACGCUGCUCAGACCCUGCAGCGGCCCUCCUACGCACAGAUCCUCCUGAUGCAUCAGUGGCCCAGCUGCUCCAUCUGGGACACCAGCUUCUCUCCGCCUUGGCCGUAUGAGCCCUGGGGGCCUCUGUAUUCAUUGUUCCCGGCCAUUGCGAGUUAUAGCCCCCCCAGCCUUCCUGAGCCCCUCCCAACCUCCCACCACCUCCAGGCUUUCUCCACGCGAGUUCUGCAGCAUUUACCAGCACCUACCACACAAUCUUCUCACUGGCUGGUCUUUUCCCACCACAAUUAAACUCCCAAAGGCCAUACUGCCAUCUCCUAUGUGCCUAAAAACCUGGCAGUUUUACACCUGAGGGAUUCUUUCCCCAAAGAGGCCUCCCAGCAGUCUAAUGAACAGAGGAGGGCUGGCUGCUGUUGAUGACGAGGACUUACAGGGCCCCUUGAGCACACCCAGGCCACACUGGGGGCCCAGGGGCUCUGGCAGAAGUGGUGUCCUGAUGUAGAUGCCACAGCACUCGCAGGCCAGCAGGAGCGGCCCCUACCCUGUUCCUCCAUGCCUGGUCACCAUCCGCUUUCUGGGAGAUCCGAAAAGGUUCUUCCACCUUCCGCUGUGUGGCAGGAAAUGAGUCUAAUGAGUCUACACUCCACAGCUACCAACUUCCAUAAAGCAGUUUAUUUUUCUUAAAAAGGAAGGUACAUGGUCACAGUCCAAAAUGUUUUAUACAGCUCUCAGCCUGGAAAAUGCAACUGAUGAAAAAGGCACUGUUUCUAGAACAAAUGGAAAAAGAAUAAAUAUGUCAUCAUUUACCCUGCACAGCUUUGAGUAACACCAUAGGACCCUGUCACACGUUCAGGGUCAAUUUUAAAAGCUUGAGAAGACACAGCAAGGUGAUGUCCUAGACUAGCCAGGCUCCGAAAGGAAGAGCUGUCUGUCCCUCCUAACUGUCCUCUCUCUGUCACAGGUGUCCAUGUCACUGUUCCUCUAGCAGAUGUGGAAAGUGGCUGCUCAGUGAGGACUCAGCCCCCACCAACCUGACUGAGGGUCACACGACACCAUGGUGGAAAGUCACAAAGGGUAACGGGCCAAGAGGGUGAGGGGGGCUCCCUGACCCUGAGGACCCCUGAGGCACUGCUGCACCUUCCACGGAUUCUGUGUCUAGCGUUGCCCUCUUUGCAGAUGCCCCUCGUGGUGGUGGCACAAAGACCUAAAAAUGAUUUCUGUAAAAUGGGUACAAGGAGCUCCCUGAUAAAGCAGCUCAUCCUAGACAGCCUUUUGGAGUUAGCGUAACUGUCCUUCCUCAUUUCUAGUUCUCAAUAGCGAAUGGCAGACCUGGAGGCCCCAUGUGCACCUGCCAGCCGGGGCGAGGGCAGGGACGGCCAGCCGGGCGAGGGCGGGGCAGUCGGGGUGAGGGUGGGGCGGGGCAGUCGGGGCGAGGGAGGGGUGGCCAGUGGGGGCGAGGGUGGGUGGCCAGCCGGGCCUGGUGUGAGGAGCAGAGCUGCAAGUUUCCUACAGACAAUCCACUGAGUGCCCCAGAGACGUCACUGAAAAACUUCCCAGUGCUCUGACGUGCCAGCAGUAGGGCCUGAACUGUCAUCCCUCCACGGGGCUCCCUGAGGCCUCAGGCCCUUUCCUUUGCAGCACCAGGUCUGCCUUGCACGCAUCCCAGGAGGAAACACACAGGCAGCCUCCUGCUGCGCGGAGGGCAACGGAGAGAUUCAUGAGGCCCCUGGUCGCUCUGCAGACAUUUAAAAUGACGCUUCUCCUUGCACCAGCUCCCAGGGAAAUGUCAGCCCGGGUCCACCUGACGGAGGGCAGCUCACCCGCCUGCAUCUAUCCUCAAUGCACUUAAAAUAUGAAGACAUGAAAGGUGGCUGGAAAGGCCAGAGCGGGAGCCUGACAAACACUCCUGCUUCUGGGUCACCACGCGGGCACUGCUGGCAACCGAGCUGUGGGUUCACAGACGCUGCCUGAAAACAACCGCCACCCCCGAGAGCAGCGGAGCCUCUUCAUCAGCCAUGGCGGCUGGCAACGCCGAGGACGGAGCCCAGCUCUAGAGGCGUGGGGCCUCUUCUGGGCCUGGGACCCUGCGAGGGACGGUCCUGUCCGCCCAGCUCCCGGCUGGCAGUAGACGGUGACUCCACGGCGACAGAACCUGCAUCCACCCGCGCCUGUCGGGUCCGGGGAGCGGCCCUGGAGGAUCCUCCUCAGUAGGUGAUCUUCCAGUGGGUGGGUUGCUCACACGCCUUCUCUUGGUCUCCGCAGAACCUGUUGUACGUCGUCUUGGGGUCCAACCCCAGGAUUUCUCUUUCCUCAUGAAUCCGAAAAGAAAAUGUUGAGACUGAGGUGCCAAUAAAAAACCUGCAAAGGAUCACAGAGGUUCCAGAGUCAGGGAGAACUGGCGUCACAGAGGUUCCAGAGUCAGGGAGAACUGAGAGGAGCAGCUGAGUGAAAUGAGUUCCACAGUUACAUGGAACCAACACGGCCGUCCCCCGAGCACCCACCAGCCGGCCGCCCCCUUGCUGGCACCCCUCGCUCAGGUGCCCUCGACAUCGGCGCCCUGAGGGGCUCUGCCUGGUGCUGCAGCCCCAUCCACACCCCACAGUCAGCAGCCGCCACGCUCCUGUCCCACCGCAUGUCCCCCUGGGAGCCCUCCUCUCCGUCACCAAAUCCCAGGCCAGGCACGCCAGUGCAGGUCGAAUACCUCCUGGGGGUCACAUGGUGAACAAUGAGAGAUUCCUACUAACCACACACUGUCUAGCCAGGGCAUGGCGGGUCCUUAUCCUGAGGCACAGUAGACAUCACGGAGGUCAAGGCCCCCUCCACACACACGCUGUAUGGGCUGGUGGGGACACCCUUCUCCAGGGGUUUCUCCAGACCUCAGGUCAGCGGCCUGCCCGUUCCUCCGGCUCCUGCGCAGCUGGUCUCUGGCUCUCCAGCGGCACUUCAUGAACUUCGUGAACAAGCAAACCCCAGAGAUGUUUCCAGAGCAAAUGUAACAUGCACAGCGCUGUACACAGAGCCACAGGGCCAGCAGGCCACACAGGCCUGUAUGCUGCUGCGGGGUGCAGCACUGGUGGGGAGACCCUCACCACCCCACACACAGGGGCCUGCCAGAGCAGGCCGCGCCGGCCCGGAGGCAGGGCAGCUUCAGUGAGCUGGGCCGAGCGCUUCGCGCAGCUGAGGGCAGGAGGCUGAGAGCUCAGUGCGAAGCCUCCCCACAGCAGGCUUCCUGGGCUGCGGAGACAGCACCGCCAAGGUCGCAGUCAAAAUCCCAAGGCCACACCUGAGAAGCAGGGGUGAGUUCGUAACUGGGCUCCUGCACACCUCCGCCCUGACCUAAGAAGUCAGCGCUGCAUCCUGUCUGCUUAACAGGGAAAGGGACCCACACCCAGCAGACAGCAUCACCCGGAGCCUCUGUGGGUCUUACACACCAUGCCCAGAACACCACAGGAAAUAGCAGAUGUGUGAAGAGGCACCGGCUCAGGGCGCUCAGCAUUCCUCGGGCAGGAGAGAGACAGACUAACCCACAGAGACGCACGCGUGUGCACAGUGCUAACCACGGGGAAGAUCAUUCCCUCUACUUUCAUUUUCCAUUUAACUCAAACCGUUUCACCCUAACCCCAGCCUUCAUCUCCUAUGCAGAUGGGCAGGCAGGUCUUUGGAGGAACAGAGGCCCAGGCGUACCUCCCACAGCAACCCCAGAGGAAUGACUGCACGCAGGGCCCACGCUCCCGGCCUCUGGGACGCUCACGGCAGCCCCACGAGAAUGAUCACACGAGGGCCCACGCUCCCGGCCUCGGGGACGCUCACGGCAGCCCCACAAGAACGAUCACACGAGGGCCCAUGCUCCCAGCCUUGGGGACGCUCAUGGCAGCCCCACGAGAAUGAUCACACGAGGGCCCACGCUCCCGGCCUCGGGGACGCUCACGGAUGCUCAACAACACAGCAACAAGGACAUGCCCAAGUCCAGGGCACGGGCAACUCUCAGGGCAGGGGGCAGACAGGGGCAGAAACCGGGAAUGAUGGGAAAAUGCGACACAAGAAGAGGUUCUGAGACGAGGCCAGCUAUGCCAACAGCCUGCUAUGGAGGAAUUCUGUGCAUGAGAACUAAAGGGGCAAGAUGAACAAUUAACUUCAGCCCAGGGAAACACUGAACCAGAUGCUACAGGAGACUCAGACGAGGAGGCAAACAGUAUGGAAAUGACCACUGUGAACACAGGCGACCAUCUGCUCUGACACCGAGUACUUGGGACAGAAGAACCUUUGAAAGCCACCCGACCCGCUCUCGGCCGACAGUGACGUGGGCAGGCACCUGGCGUGUGCGCAGAUCCACUGGUCAAUAAUCGCAACGCCUCCGUCCUUGUAGAGCUCCAGCUCCUCCCACGUGGGUUCAAACCUCACCAUCUCGGGUAACAGCUUUUUUAGCUCUUCAUAUUCUGCAAAGUAGAAGGAGAGACCCUUUGAACCGGGAUCCUCCAGUAAGGACAGAUACGUGACUCUUUAGCAGACAGACAUGCGUACUUGGCUUCUGGUUAAUUCGUUAGGAACUGGCUCCAAAGGUGCAGACACACAACUCAGCUUUACCCUCCCAGGAAUUACAGUUGAAGAUCAUGCAGAUCUUCAUGGAUCUGGGUAGUUCCAGGUCUACCCAGAACAGAACCAGGGAUCAAGAAGAAAGGAAAGAAACGUGCUCCCUCUCCCUCUCCUUCUCCCUCUCCCUCUCCCCACGGUCUCCCUCUCUUUCCACGGUCUCCCUCUCAUGCGGAGCCAAAGCUGGACUGUGCUGCUGCCAUCUCGGCUCACUGCAACCUCCCUGCCUGGUUCUCCUGCCUCAGCCUGCCGAGUGCCUGCGAUUGCAGGCACGCGCCACCACGCCUGACUGGUUUUGGUGGAGACGGGGUUUCGCUGUGUUGGCCGGGCCGGUCUCCAGCCCCUAACCGCGAGUGAUCCGCCAGCCUCGGCCUCCCGAGGUGCUGGGAUUGCAGACGGAGUCUCGUUCACUCAGUGCUCGAUGGUGCCCAGGCUGGAGUGCAGUGGCGUGAUCUCGGCUCGCUACAACCUACACCUCCCAGCCGCCUGCCUUGGCCUCCCAAAGUGCCAAGAUUGCAGCCUCUGCCCGGCCGCCACCCCAUCUGGGAAGUGAGGAGUGUCUCUGCCUGGCCGCCCAUCGUCUGGGAUGUGAGGAGCCCCUCUGCCUGGCUGCCCAGUCUGGAAAGUGAGGAGCAUCUCCGCCCGGCCGCCAUCCCAUCUAGGAAGUGAGGAGCACCUCUUUCCGGCCGCCAUCACAUCUAGGAAGUGAGGAGCGUCUCUGCCCAGCCGCCCAUCGUCUGAGAUGUGGGGAGCGCCUCUGCCCCGCCGCCCCAUCUGGGAUGUGAGGAGCGCCUCUGCCUGGCCACGACCCCGUCUGGGAGGUGAGGAGCGUCUCUGCCCGGCCGCCCCGUCUGAGAAGUGAGGAGCCUCUCCGCCCGGCAGCCACCCCAUCUGGGAAGUGAGGAGCGUCUCCG
This 10468-nucleotide long non-coding RNA is filed under the name Homo sapiens (human). Its description in RNAcentral is "HSALNT0404622". Lineage: Eukaryota; Metazoa; Chordata; Mammalia; Primates; Hominidae. The record is from RNAcentral.